RNAcentral lists this ribosomal RNA (484 nucleotides) under uncultured bacterium. Its description in RNAcentral is "partial 16S ribosomal RNA". It matches the Rfam family "Bacterial small subunit ribosomal RNA", at positions 28 to 507 of the family's 1533-position model. The record is from RNAcentral.
AUUGAACGCUGGCGGCAUGCUUUACACAUGCAAGUCGAACGGCAGCGCGGGCUUCGGCCUGGCGGCGAGUGGCGAACGGGUGAGUAAUGCAUCGGAACGUGCCCAGUAGUGGGGGAUAGCCCGGCGAAAGCCGGAUUAAUACCGCAUACGACCUGAGGGUGAAAGCGGGGGGCCGAAAGGCCUCGCGCUAUUGGAGCGGCCGAUGUCGGAUUAGCUAGUUGGUGGGGUAAAGGCUUACCAAGGCGACGAUCCGUAGCUGGUCUGAGAGGACGACCAGCCACACUGGGACUGAGACACGGCCCAGACUCCUACGGGAGGCAGCAGUGGGGAAUUUUGGACAAUGGGGGCAACCCUGAUCCAGCCAUGCCGCGUGAGGGAAGAAGGCCUUCGGGUUGUAAACCGCUUUUGUUCGGGAAGAAAUCCUCUGGGCUAAUACCCCGGGGGGAUGACGGUACCGGAAGAAUAAGCACCGGCUAACUACGUG